AAGACUAUAGACCUGCGGAGUACCUGCGGAGGGAUCAUUACAGGACUCGCAAGACUCCUUAAACCCCUGUGAACUUACUGUUUAUACGUUGCUUCGGCGGGUGCUCCGGGGUCCGCCCCGGGGCGCUGCGCCCGCCGGCAGCCUACUUAAUUCUGUUUCUCUGCGUUGGCAUCUCGAGUAAGCAAAAUAAGUUAAAACUUUUAACAACGGAUCUCU
Molecule: unclassified non-coding RNA, 216 nt
Filed under: soil metagenome
Description: partial contains 5.8S ribosomal RNA, internal transcribed spacer 2, and large subunit ribosomal RNA
Source: RNAcentral